Molecule: ribosomal RNA, 512 nt
Filed under: uncultured bacterium
Lineage: Bacteria
Description: bacterial SSU rRNA
Rfam family: Bacterial small subunit ribosomal RNA
Source: RNAcentral
GAUCUGGCUCAGGAUGAACGCUAGCUACAGGCUUAACACAUGCAAGUCGAGGGGCAGCAUGUGGUUGCUUGCAACCAAUGAUGGCGACCGGCGCACGGGUGAGUAACGCGUAUCCAACCUUCCCUAUAGUAGAGGAUAGCCCGGCGAAAGUCGGAUUAAUACUCUAUGUUUUCCAAUGCAGACAUCUAAAAUGGAACAAAGGUUCACCGCUAUAGGAUGGGGAUGCGUCUGAUUAGAUAGUCGGCGGGGUAACGGCCCACCGAGUCGACGAUCAGUAGGGGUUCUGAGAGGAAGGUCCCCACAUUGGAACUGAGACACGGUCCAAACUCCUACGGGAGGCAGCAGUGAGGAAUAUUGGUCAGUGGGCGAGAGCCUGAACCAGCCAAGUAAGCGUGCAGGAUGACGGCCCUAUGGGUUGUAAACUGCUUUUAUACAGGGAUAAAGUGACGUACGUGUACGUUUUUGUAGGUACUGUAUGAAUAAGGACCGGCUAAUUCCGUGCCAGCCGCCGC